This 402-nucleotide unclassified non-coding RNA is filed under the name soil metagenome. RNAcentral describes it as "partial contains 5.8S ribosomal RNA, internal transcribed spacer 2, and large subunit ribosomal RNA". The stretch from base 1 to 120 matches the Rfam family "5.8S ribosomal RNA", at positions 35 to 154 of the family's 154-position model. The record is from RNAcentral.
GAUGAAGAACGUAGCGAAAUGCGAUACGUAGUGUGAAUUGCAGAAUUCCGUGAACCAUCGAAUCUUUGAACGCAAAUUGCGCUCGAGGCCUCGGCUAAGAGCAUGUCUGGCUCAGCGUCGGCUUACUACCCUCAAUCAAUUACCUUGUGAUGAUUGGUUGGAGCUGGCUUUCCGGUGUUCCAAUCAGGUUGCCGGUCAGCUGAAAAACAUUCACGCUGUGGAAGUCGCUUUCCCUUCAAAAAGGAAAGCCGAGUUCCGAUUUGGUAGGUGACCUUUGCCGGUUGCAUGCCUUCGUUGCUCGUUUUGGCUUUCAUGAUAGCGUGUGCAGGACGCCAUUUUGGCUUUCGACCUGAGCUCAGGCAAGAACACCCGCUGAACUUAAGCAUAUCAAUAAGCGGAGGA